UAGGGAAUAUUGCACAAUGGAGGAAACUCUGAUGCAGCGACGCCGCGUGAGUGAUGAAGGACUUCGGUUCGUAAAGCUCUGUCGUAUGGGAAUAAGAAAGUGAAUGUACCAUGCAAGAAAGGAUCGGCUAACUUCGUGCCAGCAGCCGCGGUAAGACGAGGGAUCCUAGCGUUGUUCGGAAUCAUUGGGCGUAAAGCGGAUGUAGGUGGCUUUGUAAGUCGGGUGUGAAAGCCCAGGGCUCAACCCUGGAAGUGCAUUCGAUACUGCGAAGCUUGAAUGUCGGAGAGGUUAUUAGAAUACCUGGUGUAGUGGUGAAAUACGUAGAUAUCAGGUGGAAUACCGGAGGCGAAGGCGGAUAACCAGCCGAACAUUGACACUCAGAUCCGAAAGUGUGGGGAUC
Molecule: ribosomal RNA, 400 nt
Filed under: uncultured bacterium
Lineage: Bacteria
Description: bacterial SSU rRNA
Rfam family: Bacterial small subunit ribosomal RNA
Source: RNAcentral